RNAcentral lists this long non-coding RNA (621 nucleotides) under Brassica napus (rape). RNAcentral's name for it is "long non-coding RNA (BNAP_LNC023087)". The record is from RNAcentral. Lineage: Eukaryota; Viridiplantae; Streptophyta; Magnoliopsida; Brassicales; Brassicaceae.
GUGGGGAGGGAAAUGAGAAAGAGUUAGAGCUAAGUGUUGUAAAAAGAAAAUUAAAGUCCCUAGUUGGUUGAGUCAAAAGAAAAAGAGAGUUGUUCAUUGGGUGAGUGAUGUGCGUGGGUGUUAUUUUGGCUUUAAGAUGGGGAUGAAAAGGGUAGAACUUGUAAUCACUUAGGAAAAUAGUAGAAUGAUGAGAAUGGAUCUAUGUAUGCAUGAAUUGCUUCUAGUCUUAGAUAAAUUUUGCAUAAUGGUCAAGCUCCUUGUUUUUGAGUGAUGACCACCUUGAAAUGAAAACAUUUGAAUCCUUCUCUUCAUUCAUAUUAGACCAUUGCCUACCUAGCCAAAUGAUUAAGAUCAUGUGUCCAUUUGUGAGAAUUCACAUUGUGUGUGUGUGUGUGAAUCAAUGUGAGAGCUGGUUGAAGGAACUUGUUAGUUGAUGAGUAUUGCAACUUGUGUAGAGGCAUAAGAGUAUUGAUAGAGCUUUAGAAGCUAAAGUAUAAUAAGAGAGUGUGCUCAUGAUAUUUUCUAUGUUUCCUUAGGAUGUCAAGUUGAGUGUUGUAAGUAUCUCUUUUGGUUAUAAGCUUCCAUCUUUAUAUCUCUCCUUCUUGAGUUUUUGAAAAGUUU